Cervus elaphus (red deer) is the source of this 1978-nucleotide long non-coding RNA. RefSeq lists it as uncharacterized. NCBI's taxonomy places the organism in Eukaryota, Metazoa, Chordata, Mammalia, Artiodactyla, Cervidae. The transcript has 3 exons. The record is from RefSeq and is a predicted model, not a curated record.
UCGCACACACUGCCUCAUUUUUGUUCCGGAGAGAGAGCGAUCAGGGUUCCAGGCAGGGUGACAUACCAUGGGCAUUAAAAGCAUAUAGUCAGUCUUAGCAAAUUAGGUAAAUUAGCGAUCUUUUGAUGGUAUUCUAUUGUUGCUAUUGUAAUCACAGUCAUUUUCCCUGGUAGUGGUGCUUCGUGAUGAAGUAUAGUUCUCACAGGAUAAUUGUGAAAGAUACUGAAAGAUUCAGGCUCAGGGAUGCCGCAUCUGCUUUCAAAAGCUCUUCAGAUUCAAACUGGCAUUUUCCUUUAUCUUGGAAAUUGAUUAGAGAUUCAGAUCAUGCCGGUUUAAAUGGAAAGGUGAAAACAGGGUAAUUUCAGUCUAUGAAUUAUUCAAUCUCAGCCUGGUGCAACUGCCAUCCAGGAGCGGAUGCUCUGACGGUCCUUCCGCAGAGUCUCCAUUAUGCUUGUCAUUUUUACUUCUUUAUCUACGAUCUCUUUCUCAGUUACCCAGCUUGUCCCUUAGGGCUCGGCUUCACAAACCCAAAGUAUUUCCAAUUGGCAGUAACCUAAAUGGGCGGCUGUCUCAAAUCGCUGUCUCCACAGGCUGCCUUUUUUCUUCCCCCAAAAUCAUUUUAAACACACAUACACACACAUUCAUGAUGAUAUCUGUGAGGCUCUUUGAUUCAAUGAAUUAAAACACACACAUACACACAGACCCCACACACACACACACAGAUGAGGGAAUCGCUGCAAAGAAGAGUGAUGUUCCACUAACAUCACAAGAGGAGAUAAAGUGAUGCUUUCUGCUUCCUUCUUUGUUGUCAGUAUGACCCAUCCUAGUUGAAUAACAUCACGCAGGAAGGAGCCAGCACUAAACAGGCUUGCCUGGCACCCUGAUUUCCAACCAGCACAGAUGAAGACUGCAUGGAAGGCAGACUAAUCCAGGCAACUGUACAACUUAGCGAGCACGAUUAUUUAGGGAAAAUAAGAAGAAGCCAUCGGAGGACUGCAAUUAAACUGUCAAUCUCCCAGGCUCCACCUGCACCCAGACUGCAGUCGCAAAGAUUCUCCACUUGAUGGCUGGCUGUGUCACUGCUAGUCGACAGCUGUCCCCGAAUCCAGAGAGGACUGGGAUGGAUUUAGGUCAGUGAGUCUGGUUUCUCCUUUAAAUCGUGUUCUAACUGAGGAACCCGGGAUCUGGGCUAGUCCCCGUGAGCCGCCCGAACUGGGAGCUUGGAACAUCAGUGCGGUGGAGGAAUCUGCCUGCCCAGGCCCCAGCCGGGCACGCAGCGUCAGCAUCUCCUUCGUCCUAGCCUUUAUCCCGCAGGUAGAGCGCCACGCUUCGUGAGAAGCCCACAGACUAUUCCCACAAGUGCUGGGGAGCCAGCCGCGCUCCAACCCGGGCGGUCUGGCCUCCGGGCUCCAGGCAGUACCUGCUCUGCUGCAAACGCACGCUGCCAAGUGUGAAGCCAUCGUAUGCAUUCAGACUGCUUCUCUGCUCCUGGCUAAAAUCAGUUGUACGCCUUGUGACGAGGACCCGACAGGAGCCAGGGCUGGGGCAGAGCGGUGAUGCAGAAAGCAACAGCGAUGACACAGCAGUCAGCUGACUUGCAGGGUGUGAUUGCUCAAUGUCCUCUGCAGAAUCGGUGCCCCAUAACAUGUGGAAUCUUAGUUCUCCAACCAGGGAUUGGACCUGCACCCCCAAUAGUGGAAGCACAGAAUCUUAACCACUAGACCAUCAGGGAAGUCCCUCUGUUUGCUUUUUUUUUCUUUUCUUUAUUUGGUUCUCUUGACACAAAUCCUGAUUGAAUUAGGAAGUUUUUCGACAACGCACAGAGAGAUCAAAACUGGAAGGAGUGGCCUUUCCUGGUGCGUGCGUGCGUGUGUGUGUGUGUGUGUGUGUGUGUGUGUGUGUGUGUGUGUGUUCUGUUGCUCAGUCGGGUCUGACUCUGUGACCCCGUGGACUGUAGCCGGCCAGGAUCCCCUGUCCA